Miniopterus natalensis is the source of this 379-nucleotide long non-coding RNA. RefSeq lists it as uncharacterized. The record is from RefSeq and is a predicted model, not a curated record. NCBI's taxonomy places the organism in Eukaryota, Metazoa, Chordata, Mammalia, Chiroptera, Miniopteridae.
CGCCUCCCCGCCGAAAGCGGACCCCACAGUCCGGUCACCUGGGUGUUCUCUCCCUCCCGAAACGCCUGUGCUACCCGCUGCCGCAGGCAAAAAUGGAGCACCUGGGUGUUGGUUUGCCAGCGACAUGUCUGGGGUUAUCCUUGUCUAUGCAGAACCUGGGUACAAAGCUGGUGAGAUGGCACAUCUGUCCCACUUCAUCCUGUGCCACCUACAGUGCCUCUUAGGAAGGUGCUGUGCUCAUUCCAGGAGCCCUUGUAUGUCGUGUGAGCGAAGUCGAUCAUCCGGAUGUCAACUUUGGGGAGACCUCCGGGACAGCUGCGGGGUGCCGUCUGCGGAGCCUCCUGAGGGUGCAGGCUGCCCGGGGCUCUUUCCAGCGGCU